GGUCCGCUGGCUCAAUGGCAGAGCGUCUGACUACGAUUCCUCCUCCGAGCAUUCGGAGCGGAUCGAGUAAUCAGGAGGUUCCAGGUUCGACCCCUGGGUGGAUCG
Molecule: non-coding RNA, 105 nt
Organism: Staphylotrichum longicolle
Lineage: Eukaryota; Fungi; Ascomycota; Sordariomycetes; Sordariales; Chaetomiaceae
Source: the annotation of a GenBank genome assembly